RNAcentral lists this ribosomal RNA (450 nucleotides) under uncultured bacterium. Its description in RNAcentral is "bacterial SSU rRNA". It matches the Rfam family "Bacterial small subunit ribosomal RNA", at positions 354 to 796 of the family's 1533-position model. The record is from RNAcentral.
GUGGGGGAUAUUGGACAAUGGGCGAAAGCCUGAUCCAGCCAUGCCGCGUGUGUGAAGAAGGUCUUCGGAUUGUAAAGCACUUUAAGUUGGGAGGAAGGGUAGUAACCUAAUACGUUGCUACUUUGACGUUACCGACAGAAUAAGCACCGGCUAACUUCGUGCCAGCAGCCGCGGUAAUACGAAGGGUGCAAGCGUUAAUCGGAAUUACUGGGCGUAAAGCGCGCGUAGGUGGUUCAGUAAGUUGGAAGUGAAAUCACCGGGCUCAACCUGGGAAGUGCUUUCAAAACUGCUGAGCUAGAGUACGGUAGAGGGUGGUGGAAUUUCCUGUGUAGCGGCGAAAUGCGUAGAUAUAGGAAGGAACACCAGUGGCGAAGGCGACUACCUGGACUGAUACAGACACUGAGGUGCGAAAGCGUGGGGAGCAAACAGGAUUAGAAACCCGAGUAGUCC